RNAcentral lists this non-coding RNA (1369 nucleotides) under Drosophila sechellia. RNAcentral's name for it is "Eukaryotic large subunit ribosomal RNA". It matches the Rfam family "Eukaryotic large subunit ribosomal RNA", at positions 164 to 1356 of the family's 3401-position model. The record is from Rfam by way of RNAcentral. Lineage: Eukaryota; Metazoa; Arthropoda; Insecta; Diptera; Drosophilidae.
AUUAAUGAUUUAAGUCCUUCUUAAAUGAGGCCAUUUACUCCAUAGAGGAUGCCAGGCCCGUAUAACGUUAAUGAUUGCUAGAUGAUGUUUCCAAAGAGUCGUGUUGCUUGAUAGUGCAGCACUAAGUGGGUGGUAAACUCCAUCUAAAACUAAAUAUAACCAUGAGACCGAUAGUAAACAAGUACCGUGAGGGAAAGUUGAAAAGAACUCUGAAUAGAGAGUUAAACAGUACGUGAAACUGCUUAGAGGUUAAGCCCGAUGAACCUGAAUAUCCGUUAUGGAAAAUUCAUCAUUAAAAUUGUAAUAUUUAAAUAAUAUUAUUAAGAAUAAUGUGCAUUUUUUCCAUAUAAGGACAUUGUAAUCUAUUAGCAUAUCCCAAAUUUAUCAUAAAAUAUAACUUAUAGUUUAUUCCAAUUAAAUUGCUUGCAUUUUAACACAGAAUAAAUGUUAUUAAUUUGAUAAAGUGCUGAUAGAUUUAUAUUAUUACAGAGCGUUAAUUUUUCGGAAUUAUAUAAUGGCAUAAUUAUCAUUGAUUUUUGUGUUUAUUAUAUGCUCUUGUAUGAUUAACAAUGCGAAAGAUUCAGGAUACCUUCGGGACCCGUCUUGAAACACGGACCAAGGAGUCUAACAUAUGUGCAAGUUAUUGGGAUGUAAACCUAAUAGCGUAAUUAACUUGACUAAUAAUGGGAUUAGUUUUUUAGCUAUUUAUAGCUAAUUAACACAAUCCCGGGGCGUUCUAUAUAGUUAUGUAUAAUGUAUAUUUAUAUUAUUUAUGCCUCUAACUGGAACGUACCUUGAGCAUAUAUGCUGUGACCCGAAAGAUGGUGAACUAUACUUGAUCAGGUUGAAGUCAGGGGAAACCCUGAUGGAAGACCGAAACAGUUCUGACGUGCAAAUCGAUUGUCAGAAUUGAGUAUAGGGGCGAAAGACCAAUCGAACCAUCUAGUAGCUGGUUCCUUCCGAAGUUUCCCUCAGGAUAGCUGGUGCAUUUUAAUAUUAUAUAAAAUAAUCUUAUCUGGUAAAGCGAAUGAUUAGAGGCCUUAGGGUCGAAACGAUCUUAACCUAUUCUCAAACUUUAAAUGGGUAAGAACCUUAACUUUCUUGAUAUGAAGUUCAAGGUUAUGAUAUAAUGUGCCCAGUGGGCCACUUUUGGUAAGCAGAACUGGCGCUGUGGGAUGAACCAAACGUAAUGUUACGGUGCCCAAAUUAACAACUCAUGCAGAUACCAUGAAAGGCGUUGGUUGCUUAAAACAGCAGGACGGUGAUCAUGGAAGUCGAAAUCCGCUAAGGAGUGUGUAACAACUCACCUCCGAAGCAACUAGCCCUUAAAAUGGAUGGCGCUUAAGUUGUAUACCUAUACAUUACCGCU